UGAGGCAGGAGAAUUGCUUGAACCCGGGUGGUGGAGGUUGCAGUGAGCCAAGAUUGCGCCACUGCACUCCAGCCUGGGCGACAAAGCAAGACUCUUUCUUGGA
This is a microRNA precursor of Homo sapiens (human), 103 nucleotides long. The record is from Ensembl. NCBI's taxonomy places the organism in Eukaryota, Metazoa, Chordata, Mammalia, Primates, Hominidae.